This 606-nucleotide long non-coding RNA is filed under the name Phoenix dactylifera (date palm). RNAcentral describes it as "long non-coding RNA (PDAC_LNC006097)". The record is from RNAcentral. Lineage: Eukaryota; Viridiplantae; Streptophyta; Magnoliopsida; Arecales; Arecaceae.
AUGGGGAUAAUAUACCUAGGGGUGGGGGUUUAAUUUGUAUCACAGUGAUUGUACACCCAGAAACUGAAAGACUCAACCUAGAAUAUUUCAUAUGAAUCCUAUCUAAAAAAAAAAAAAGAGUUAGGUCAUAAACUUAUUUUUAAUAAUUUUAGAAUAUAGUUCCAUAGUUUAUACUAUAUAAAUAAUGAUAUUUUGACAAAUUUGAUAAAUUAAAGAGAUGCUUCAUUAGACCUAGAUAUGGGACUUGAAUCGGCUCAAAGCUACGUACGUUAAGCUACGCAAUUGAAAAUCAUAGCAAAUAUAAUGAACUUCCUUGGAGGAGCAAGUCAAACCAACGCACCUAAGUAUGUCAUUUGCUUUGUGAUUUUUAACCGAGUGAUCAUAUUCUAAAGUUCAUCUUCAAUUGAUGACUAUAUCUGAAACACCUAAUCCUUUGAUUCCUGGUCAUACUAUCAGUAGAUUAAUAUUCUAGUUUAUUUGACAGGUGGGAUAGAGCUAGGGAACUGAAUGUUUUAUACCAUUCUAAAGGUCCUGGAAGAUUGAAAACUCUAUUGUUACUUUUUUCCAAGUGCUUGUGGAAGCUUAACUAAUGGCUCCUUUUAGUUA